RNAcentral lists this signal recognition particle RNA (266 nucleotides) under Ralstonia pickettii. RNAcentral's name for it is "signal recognition particle sRNA large type". It matches the Rfam family "Bacterial large signal recognition particle RNA". From Rfam's summary of the family: The signal recognition particle (SRP) is a universally conserved ribonucleoprotein involved in the co-translational targeting of proteins to membranes. Archaeal SRP consists of a 7S RNA and homologues of the eukaryotic SRP19 and SRP54 proteins. In most bacteria, the SRP consists of a 4.5S RNA and the Ffh protein (a homologue of the eukaryotic SRP54 protein). The record is from RNAcentral. Lineage: Bacteria; Pseudomonadati; Pseudomonadota; Betaproteobacteria; Burkholderiales; Burkholderiaceae.
CCGUGCUAAGCGGGGAGGUAGCGGUGCCCUGUACUCGCAAUCCGCUAUAGCGAGGCCGAAUUCCCAUCCGAGGUAUGACGACUGUAUGGUCUGCCUUAGUGGAUUGGUGUCGACGUUUAGGUCCUGCGCAACAGGAACCCAUGAACCCUGUCAGGUCCGGAAGGAAGCAGCAGUAAGUGGUCAUUCUUGUGUGCCGCAGGGAAGCCUAAGCUGAGCCAUGAAGCUAAGAAGCGCGUAUGGACGCCGUAUCGAAGCUGGGUGCACGG